GUUAAACCCGCAAGGAGGUGGCCAUCCAAAGGUAAGAGUUCCCAUAGGGAACCGCCAUCUCCUAUCCACCCUUAGGUGGGUUUGCGGGGAAGGAGGU
Molecule: non-coding RNA, 97 nt
Filed under: unclassified sequences
Description: DUF1874 RNA
Rfam family: DUF1874 RNA
About the family: Hot springs metagenome only. Environment (Bison Hot Springs, Yellowstone)
Source: RNAcentral